This 461-nucleotide ribosomal RNA is filed under the name uncultured bacterium. Its description in RNAcentral is "bacterial SSU rRNA". It matches the Rfam family "Bacterial small subunit ribosomal RNA", at positions 28 to 523 of the family's 1533-position model. The record is from RNAcentral.
GAUGAACGCUGGCGGCGUGCCUAAUACAUGCAAGUCGAGCGGCAGCACGGUCUUCGGACUGGUGGCGAGCGGCGGACGGCUGAGUAACGCGUAGGAAUAUACCCAAAGUGAGGGAUAACUGCCCGAAAGGGUGGCUAAUACCGCAUGUGGUCUUCGGACUAAAGCCUUCGGGCGCUUUGGGAAUAGCCUGCGUAAGAUUAGCUAGUUGGUGAGGUAAUGGCUCACCAAGGCGACGAUCUUUAGCUGGUCUGAGAGGAUGACCAGCCAGACUGGAACUGAGACACGGUCCAGACUCCUACGGGAGGCAUCAGUAGGGAAUUUUCCACAAUGGGCGAAGCCUGAUGGAGCAACGCCGCGUGCAGGAUGAAGGCCCUCGGGUCGUAAACUGCUUUUAUGUGCGAAGAAUAUGACGGUAACACAUGAAUAAGGGUCGGCUAACUACGUGCCAGCAGCCGCGGUAA